UACUGAAAGAAGUGGAUUGCUGGAUUC
Molecule: non-coding RNA, 27 nt
Filed under: Mus musculus (house mouse)
Lineage: Eukaryota; Metazoa; Chordata; Mammalia; Rodentia; Muridae
Source: RNAcentral